AGCCCGGUCGUCUAGUGGCCAAUCUCCAUGGUUGAGGGCUAGGGAUUCCAGGCUCUGGACCUGGAGACAGCAGUUCGAAUCUGCUCCGGGCUACCA
Molecule: transfer RNA, 96 nt
Filed under: Nitrososphaera sp.
Lineage: Archaea; Thermoproteati; Nitrososphaerota; Nitrososphaeria; Nitrososphaerales; Nitrososphaeraceae
Also listed under: 1 other name
Description: tRNA-Gln
Rfam family: tRNA (bases 37-93)
About the family: Transfer RNA (tRNA) molecules are approximately 80 nucleotides in length.
Source: RNAcentral